UCCAUGUUUGUUUGUUUGACCUCUGAGAUUGACGUUAUCAAGAUCUGAUUAAUUAAGAAAAAAAGGGCGAAACCCGGAAAUUACAGCUCUAAAAGUGCCAAAGAAGCGCAGAUAAGCUCAAUUUUCUGAGUGUUUGCAACAUAGGUUUGACAAAAACGAUAUAUAUGGACAUGGUUGUCUCAAAUCUUCAACAGCAACGCGCUAUCACCGAGCAACUCCGCCGUGAAGCUGCGAUUAAGAGAAUGCCAGUAUCUCUUUCCGUAAAGGAGAUUGUAAGAUACAUCACCGAACAUGAACAAGACGACUGUCUUCUUGUAGGAUUUUCAAGCCAGCGUGUGAAUCCCUUUCGUGAGAAAACCCCGUGUUCCGUGCUGUAAUUGUAUAGCGAAAACGGAAUAGCGGGGUUUGUUCAAAGUACACAUAUUAAAAUUCCAAAUAUUUACACAAGGGGAGACUUGAAUUUUUCUAUUUUACCGUUAGGAUAAGGCCUAAGAGCGAUUUUUAUUAAAGUUUAAACAAAAACAGGGUAACUAAAUAAGGUAAAAGUAUUUUUUGAGAAGCUUUGGAUGUUUUUUACUACAUAACUCUGAACGUUAAUAGAAAAAUUUGAUUCUACUUAUUAUACAAUUAAUUCCACAAUAUAUAUCAAAAUAAUUUGCAUUUAUUGAAUAUAUUAAUGUUAAAUGACUCUUAUAUUUGCAUUUAAUAAAAAUUAAUAUGACCACAA
Sitophilus oryzae (rice weevil) is the source of this 727-nucleotide long non-coding RNA. RefSeq lists it as uncharacterized. The transcript has 3 exons. Lineage: Eukaryota; Metazoa; Arthropoda; Insecta; Coleoptera; Curculionidae. The record is from RefSeq and is a predicted model, not a curated record.